Long non-coding RNA from Mizuhopecten yessoensis (Yesso scallop), 456 nucleotides. RefSeq lists it as uncharacterized. The record is from RefSeq and is a predicted model, not a curated record. Lineage: Eukaryota; Metazoa; Mollusca; Bivalvia; Pectinida; Pectinidae. The transcript has 3 exons.
UAACUGACUGUUUUUCAGACCAUCACGGCUGGGGUGACCCUCGAGGUGAAGUUCGUCCACUACAAGAACUCAGAGGGGGAAGGAAGCAAUGGCGAGUGUUGUGAUGGCAGAUCUGUGUUCUGUUUCUCAGCGUGUGAUCACAAGUUUAACAUUUGUCUUGAUAAGGCGACCGGAGCAAACAACAUACGGGAUUGUCCCUUUGGAAGAUUCAAAUCAUCGGAAAUACCAGAUGCUGACACAAUUACAUUCGGAUCAUCCUUUGGAGGAGUGAAAAAUCCAAUGUUUUUCCGAAUGAAAUCCUGGCCGGGAUCAGUGAAACUGAAGGUGGAGGUACAUGAUGCUGAUCCCGGUUCCAAUCCGUCAGACCACGUGGACUUCCUGUACAGAGAAAUAUCAGAGAAGGUAUCUCCCGAUAGGGCGUCAUCCACUACCUCCAGCUAUACAAUCAAGAAGAGG